AACGAGCGCUGGCGGCAUGCCUAACACAUGCAAGUCGAACGAGACCUUCGGGUCUAGUGGCGCACGGGUGCGUAACGCGUGGGAACCUGCCCUUAGGUUCGGAAUAACUCCCCGAAAGGGGUGCUAAUACCGGAUAAUGUCUUCGGACCAAAGAUUUAUCGCCUUUGGAUGGGCCCGCGUUGGAUUAGCUAGUUGGUAGGGUAAAAGCCUACCAAGGCGACGAUCCAUAGCUGGUCUGAGAGGAUGAUCAGCCACACUGGGACUGAGACACGGCCCAGACUCCUACGGGAGGCAGCAGUGGGGAAUGUUGGACAAUGGGCGAAAGCCUGAUCCAGCAAUGCCGCGUGAGUGAUGAAGGCCUUAGGGUUGUAAAGCUCUUUUACCCGGGAUGAUAAUGACAGUACCGGGAGAAUAAGCUCCGGCUAACUCCGUG
This 433-nucleotide ribosomal RNA is filed under the name uncultured bacterium. RNAcentral describes it as "partial 16S ribosomal RNA". It matches the Rfam family "Bacterial small subunit ribosomal RNA", at positions 29 to 507 of the family's 1533-position model. The record is from RNAcentral.